UACAGAGGUCCCAAGCGUUGUUCGGAUUCACUGGGCGUAAAGGGUGCGUAGGUGGCCAGGUAAGUUUGGUGUGAAAGCUCGGAGCUUAACUCCGAAAAGUCAUUGAAUACUAUCUGGCUGGAGGGUCGGAGGGGAGACUGGAAUUCUCGGUGUAGCAGUGAAAUGCGUAGAUAUCGAGAGGAACACCAGUGGCGAAGACGAGUCUCUGGACGACUCCUGACACUGAGGCACGAAAGCUAGGGGAGCAAACAGG
RNAcentral lists this ribosomal RNA (253 nucleotides) under uncultured bacterium. Its description in RNAcentral is "partial 16S ribosomal RNA". It matches the Rfam family "Bacterial small subunit ribosomal RNA", at positions 524 to 776 of the family's 1533-position model. The record is from RNAcentral.